UAGUAGCUUCUGGCGUUUCAGAGACCAAGG
Molecule: non-coding RNA, 30 nt
Filed under: Mus musculus (house mouse)
Lineage: Eukaryota; Metazoa; Chordata; Mammalia; Rodentia; Muridae
Source: RNAcentral